Molecule: long non-coding RNA, 746 nt
Organism: Vespa crabro (European hornet)
Lineage: Eukaryota; Metazoa; Arthropoda; Insecta; Hymenoptera; Vespidae
Exons: 2
Source: RefSeq, a predicted model, not a curated record
CUUGACGGCAAAGAAGAACUAUAUUGCCGAUCGAGUUGACGAAAUUUGGCAAACGGCGAUAAUGGUUUCUUGGUGGCUGAAAAAAAAAAUGUGAUUAUCGGUGAAUUCUGUACGAUUGAGUUGCUCACACUUGCAAGUGUAAAUCUUUAGUUUAGUAUAAUUAUAGUUAACUGGGAUGGAUUUUGAAACGUUCUCGACUAUGUCGUUAUAUCACUAUUAAAGCUGUGAGUUAGUUCAAGUGUCGGCCAAUCAACAUCGGUUUUGCUUGCUUUUCCAGGCAUAGAGAUAGAGAGACAAAAGGUUUUUCAAGAUCUUGAGGAAGUUCACUCCAAGCUUUCCAAUUGUCUUUCGUGUAAUAGUGUUGUUCUUCAUUGGAUCAUCGUCGUUGUUAAAAAGGAUUCACGGUAAACUAUAAAUUGUCUUAUUUAUGUAGAUGCAUGCUAAAACCGUGAAGUGUAACGUGUUUAUUUGCAGCAACAGGAAUUUAUAAUUUCGAGGCUUGGCAACGACGGCAGAUGUCCCCGUUCAGGAAGAUCCUGGCGUAGGUAACGCGAAUUGAGUUGAGUGUGGUGAUGAUGUUAACUGUACAACUGCUAUUAUAUGACGCCACACAGCUACGAAUAUAAUCUACAAAAGUCGCACACACAUUGUACAGAGUAGUGUGGAGAAAACUAUAACACUAUUUGGCGCAACAAAAGGAGCUACAGAAAGAUGUUUUGUGACUCACUGCUUUAUUCGGGGAUCUG